Molecule: long non-coding RNA, 270 nt
Filed under: Setaria viridis
Lineage: Eukaryota; Viridiplantae; Streptophyta; Magnoliopsida; Poales; Poaceae
Description: long non-coding RNA (SVIR_LNC004663)
Source: RNAcentral
GGAGAUUGAGGACCAAUGGUAGUCACCCUUGGAUGAUGAGUGAUUGACAAUGUUGUGUUGGAUUGAUGUCGCUCUUGGCUGGUGAUGUGCAGGUGUAGGAUGUGGUGUGACAGCCGACGGUGUGCGGUGAAGGUCAAGCAAAAGGUUUAUGUCGAUGUACCAAGAGCGGUGAAGGAUGAACGCGAGUAGGUUUGAACCAAUAGACCCGAGGAGUUCGGGCGGAGUCAUGGGCGGUCCACAUGGUGUACGGAACGACAAGAGAAGGGUUGG